UUCAAUAGACAAUUGUGAUUUUCAAGCAUUUCAACUCUACAUUUUUACUCAAAUGACAUGGUUGUAAAUUUGAGAGGAGAAAUAGCCUUGCAAAUUCGAAUAAAAGUACAAGUCUCCUUUGAUUUGAGUAAAAGUCAGUAUUCGGCAAAAAUAGUUUCAGUCAAGAUUUGGUUGUAUACUUAAAGAAUAUACUUUGAGAGCUUAGUCACGAUGAACUUGAAAUGAGAACUAUCAAUUCAGUUGGAGUGACUUCAUGAACUGAUGAAAGGAUUAUAUAAUUAUACACAAUUUAUAACUAGACUUCUAUGUUUUUGUUGGAGUUGAACAUCGGGUCCAUAUGUUUGAAAUCUACAUCUAUCCACACGGAGCCUUUGGGUUUUGUUUCUGGAUUCCCAGUUUAUUGUUUUUUUCUAUGUCGGUGCUCGGAUUGGAGAGGUGAAGAGGGUUACAAAGAGAUCACUGUGGCAGUGAGAACAGAUUGAGAAGAUUGAGAGAGUUUGAUAGAGAACAAGAUAUGAGGAGAGAGUUGGGUGAACUUCUCAUGAAGCAAGAAACAUAUUGGGGUCAAUUUUUACCCAAAAACAAUAUUGGGAUCAACGGUCAAAGCUGAACUGGUUAAUGAUGGGAGAUCUUAACACCAGGUAUGUCCAUAUGGUGGCUAGUGGCUACUCUAAGGUGUCGGAUGAAGCGGAUUGCCUUUUUUUGGUCAAGGAAAAUGGGGAGUCUAGUUUUUGGCCACAGGAGAUCUCUACUCACAUUCUUGAACACUUCCGGGCCCUUUUCAGUGGUGUAGGGGUGGGGCAGAAUGGGAUUGUGCCGGAUGGGGAGUGUGCUACUCAUAUUGAUGUUCUUUCCAUAAUGGAUUAGCAUCUCACCGAAGAUCAAAGUGCUUGCUUAGUCAACCUUUCACUGUUUCGGAUGUUAAAAUGGCUUUGGAUCAAGUGGCGGGUUGGAAAUCUCCGGGUCCUGAUGGCAUACCAACUGCAUUUUACCAACAAGAGUGGUCGUGGUGGGGGAGGUGCUGACCUCUUCUGUAUUAUAUUUUCCUUCAGACUUGAUUUAUGCUUAAGGAGGUAAAUAGAACUUUGCUUAAGAAGAUCAAAGUGCUUGCUUAAUCAACCUUUUACUGUUUCGGAUGUUAAAAUGGCUUUGGAUCAAGUGGCGGGUUGGAAAUCUCCGGGUCCUGAUGGCAUACCAGCUGCAUUUUACCAACAAGAGUGGUCGUGGUGCUGACCUCUUCUGUAUUAUAUUUUCCUUCAGACUUGAUUUAUGCUUAAGGAGGAGAGGAGGGUCCAGGAAGGUCAACAACAUGGAAAACUGCUUUAGUGGGCACAUCUUCGGAACAGUGAACAUGCAUGCACGAUGGUGAAGCAUUUGUUUAACUUGGUGGAUCCUGAUCAUGAAGGUGAUUAGAACUUUUAAAGACCAAUGGAUGCCUAAGAUGCCUAAUCCCUUUGUUGCUUCUUCGGGUGUUCCGUCUAUAUUUCAAGGUGAUGUUUCAGUGUCUAGUCUUAUUGAUGCUGGAGCAAAAUUGUGGAGAGUUCCUUUGGUAAGGGCUUCAUUUUUUCCGGCUAAUAUUGUUCGCCACAUGUUGGCCAUCAACUUCCCUCGUAACAGGGAUCAAAAUCAGCUGGAUGAAAUAGUUUAGUGGCACUAGAAAGAUUGUAAGGAGGACCAGUUUUUAUUUCCCAAACCAAAUAAUGGAUUUCGGUCAGAUAAUCAUGGAAGGUGUCACAAAGGUGUUGUGAUAACUGAUGGAGCUUGGAAUAUAAAGGAUAUGCAUUCUAGUAUUGGAUGGGUUCUAACAGAGGAGGAGGGGGAAUUACUGGAGCAACAAGGCAGAAGUACCCUCGCUUCUUCAGCCUUUCACUCCGAAUGUCUGGCUUGCUUGGAUGCGAUGAUAUGGUGUUUCGAGCACAAUUUUUGUCAUAUCACAGUUGCUACGGAUUGCAGUUCACUGCUGGAUGGAAAGAAGGCUAUGAAAUGGCAAGAGGAACCGGUGAUUCGUGAAUUACAUUGUUUGUGCGAUGCUAUUUCUUUUGUAAGGUUAAUCGUGUUGUAGUGCAACAAGCUCAUGUAAUAGCGUAAGAUAUAAGAGCUCUAUAAUCUCUGCUGCAACUGUAUCUGUUUAAUUAU
Molecule: long non-coding RNA, 2136 nt
Organism: Rhododendron vialii
Lineage: Eukaryota; Viridiplantae; Streptophyta; Magnoliopsida; Ericales; Ericaceae
Exons: 2
Source: RefSeq, a predicted model, not a curated record